This 1371-nucleotide long non-coding RNA is filed under the name Homo sapiens (human). Its description in RNAcentral is "HSALNT0358339". Lineage: Eukaryota; Metazoa; Chordata; Mammalia; Primates; Hominidae. The record is from RNAcentral.
GGGAAAGCCGACAGUGACAGGUGUUACCCAGCUCCCACGCAGCUGGAAAGGCUGGUCUCACUGUCAGCAUGCUCCCCCAACAGCAUCAAGUUUAUUUCCAGGCAGCAGGCGAGCAGGGCUGAGAACUUGUCCCAGGCUACAAGCCUCCCUGCUGACAACAGAAGCAGGGCUUUCAGGUUUUAUGCCUCUCUGCCUGCCACAGCUUCUGUGCUUGUAUCUGCACUCCCUGUUUGACCCCCUCCCCAGAUUCUGUCCAGGAAACUUCAUGUUCGGUAGAAAUUGUUAUAAAAUUCAACUGGAAGUUUUCCUCUCCCUCUGGUUUUUCCUCAAUUCCACUGGCAGCCCUCCCCAAGUUGCAAGAUAAAGACAGAAAAGGCUUCCCUGAGGACUGAGAGUGCCCACAGGGCUCUUGCUGCUGCUUUCUCUACCCCUAUAUUUUGUGCGGCUCUCAGCAUUUGUCUCAGCUCCAGGGAGAAGAGAAGGAAAAGCAGAUGAGUGAACAAGGGCAGAUGGUGCUGGAGAAUUCCAUCAAGUGGGCAUCAAGAAGGGACUGGAGGUUAAAACCUUUGGGAUAAAGAAGAAGAAAAAAAGACAAGCUGGUAAAAAGUAAGGUCUGGGGGGUGGAGGCAAGAAGGGGAGUUGCUAAAAACUCUAGAAUAAGCAGUAAGACAUCUUUCAAUAAAACUGCCCCUUCCCAGAUGGCACCUGGGCACUGUUUGCUGGGCACAAACAUGGCACUGUUUCCUAGGAGAUGAUUCCUCCAGUUCUUUAAGGUAGUAAUGAAUGACAACAAGAAGUUACUUCUCUAUGCUACACACGGUGUAGAAUCCAGAGCCUGACUGGCUGUGACGCGCCCAUGGUGACACCAAGGGGACUCUGCAUGGGCACAUCCCGGCCCUCCUCCCUGCAUGUUCUCCAAGCCAGGUCUUUGAAACCUCCAGUGAUGGGAAUGACAGAAUCUGGGAUGAUUUUCUUCUGUUUCUUAUCUAAAAAAACAACAAAAAGCUCAGCAUACACGGACUCACACAAACCUUUUGCUAGAGGCAGCUCUGUAGACUUAAGACGCUGUCAUUUUUCAGAAGAACCCAGCUUGCUUUGGAACUACAGUCAGCCCUGCAACCCACCCUCACCUUGGACCCUGCUGCUGCUGUCUGUAAAGGGUCUGGAUGAAGGAAGGGAGCCUCCAGCUUGUCGGCUGUACUUGCCCAGAAUUUAGCCUUUGCAACAUGGAGCUGCGGGGAUGGGAAAUGUUGUCCACUAGCCUUCCACAAUGCUGCGAUGAAUACACCUGUGCAUUCUUUUUUAGAACAAGUGUAAGAAUUCCUAUGUGGCUGGACGGUACUGCUGCCAUCUCGGCUCACUGCAACCUCC